UACGUAGGGGGCGAGCGUUGUCCGGAUUUAUUGGGCGUAAAGAGCGUGUAGGCGGCCUGGCAGGUCUGCUGUGAAAACUCGAGGCUCAACCUCGAGAUGUCGGCGGAAACCGUCUGGCUAGAGUCCGGAAGAGGAGAGUGGAAUUCCUGGUGUAGCGGUGAAAUGCGCAGAUAUCAGGAAGAACACCGGUGGCGAAGGCGGGUCUCUGGGCCGAUAUCGACGCUGAGGAGCGAAAGCGUGGGGAGCGAACAGG
Molecule: ribosomal RNA, 253 nt
Filed under: uncultured bacterium
Lineage: Bacteria
Description: partial 16S ribosomal RNA
Rfam family: Bacterial small subunit ribosomal RNA
Source: RNAcentral